UUUUUGUUUACAAUGCAAAAAUCAAUAUAAAUCUUGUGACGCGCGGUGUUCAACUUUAGUCAGCGCCAAGCGCUUAUCGAGGGAGGACGUAUCGCUCGCUGUUGCGCCGCGCAAACUCGCCGGAGCUCGAAAAAUAUAGCGCAACCUGCGCAACGAACUCGUUUUGAUACUAGAUAAUGAAAGCAUAUUUAAUUCAGAUUAUCAGACUCAAUCGGAUACCAGUACAAAUAAUAUGGAAAAUGAAGAUACAAUACAUGGAAGACGAAUUAUAGAUUUUAGUUUUUUUAUAAAUCAAUUACUUAUACCU
Long non-coding RNA from Helicoverpa armigera (cotton bollworm), 307 nucleotides. RefSeq lists it as uncharacterized. The record is from RefSeq and is a predicted model, not a curated record. NCBI's taxonomy places the organism in Eukaryota, Metazoa, Arthropoda, Insecta, Lepidoptera, Noctuidae. The transcript is spliced from 3 exons.